RNAcentral lists this ribosomal RNA (119 nucleotides) under Carassius auratus (goldfish). The record is from RNAcentral. Lineage: Eukaryota; Metazoa; Chordata; Actinopteri; Cypriniformes; Cyprinidae.
GCUUACGGCCAUACCAACCUGGCUAUGCCCGAUCUUGUCUGCUCUCCGAAGCUAAGCAGGUUUGGGCCUGGUUAGUACUUGGAUGGGAGACCGCCUGGGAAUACCAGGUGCUGUAAGCU